UAUCUCCUUCAGAGAUAGUCUCUAGAAACUUCUUGGACCCCAGCCCAAGCCUUACACUGCCUCCCCUUCCUCAUUGACUCUGCCUCGGCUCCUCCUCCUUCCUCAACGAUGCUUCUGACUCUUCAUCUCCUUCUGAUUUCCGGUGAUUUCCUAGUCUCCAGAUGCUUUUGACACUGCCUCCCCUUCCUAGUCUGCCUCGGCUCUUCCUCCUUCCUCCCCAAUUGUAGCCGGCGCCGCCAAGAUUCGAUCAGAGAUUCAGAAUUUCACGGAUGUGCCUCUAAGAGACGAUCAACGGGAAUACCUCUGCAAAGUUGCUGAAGGGGUGAACCCAGUAACCGGAAACGCUACACGAGACAUGCUGCUUUGUAAGUUGGGAGGAAGGGUUUCCCAGAGGCUGCAUUUUCAUUUCAACUAGGAGUGUGCACAGGUACCGGGUAUACCCGGAAUCAGUCGGGAUAUAAAAAUACAGGUUCCAAAGGGGUACCCCGAACCUGUGGUAUAAUACAGGUUCCGGGUAGGUUUCGGUUUCAGGAUUCAACAGGGUAGGGUCCGGUUCCAAAAUCUUGGAACCGGUCCCUUACAGGGUAGGGUCCGGGUAUCGUGAAAAAAGCAGGGUACCCGGAACUGAUCACCCCUAGUCGGGGGGCGGCGGGGGGUGGAGCAUGUUGCGGACAGUAACGUUUUAGACGGAGAAGGAGAGGAAGGGUGGGUGCUGCCGGUGGUGGGUGUGGUUGGAGACAGAGCAGAGCAAUGCAAGGGAGGCCGAUGGAGAAGCACCGUUUGAGGGAAAAGCUUCAAUCUGGUAAGAGAAAGGGGGUUGCACCGAUCAACGGUAGGAACUUUUGAAAAGUAACGCUGAGGAGAAGCCCGGUGCGAAGGCCCACAUCUAGUGCCCUUUGCUGCGAAAAUGCUUUGGUUAGUGUCCGUAAGUAAGUGUGAAAAUACUUAAAAGGAGGUCCGUAAUUUUUAUUAGAGAAAUAGACAUAUCAUAUCUGAUAUCUCAUAGUAAUAGUAAUGAUGAUGAUGUUGAUAAUAAUAAUAAUAAUAAUAAUAAUAUAGUGUUCUUUUUCUUCCUUCUAGA
Non-coding RNA from Punica granatum (pomegranate), 1081 nucleotides. NCBI's taxonomy places the organism in Eukaryota, Viridiplantae, Streptophyta, Magnoliopsida, Myrtales, Lythraceae. The record is from RefSeq and is a predicted model, not a curated record.